Molecule: long non-coding RNA, 2893 nt
Organism: Lagopus muta (rock ptarmigan)
Lineage: Eukaryota; Metazoa; Chordata; Aves; Galliformes; Phasianidae
Exons: 3
Source: RefSeq, a predicted model, not a curated record
AGGUGUGUUGGGUUUGUUGGCAGUGAGUUUGUAGGCAUGUAUCCAGUAGAGCUGUAGCAGGGUCUGCAACUGAUCUGCAACUGUUUGGAUGCAGUGUCUCGGAUUUGAGGAUGGGGACUUCAGGACCAUCUCCAGAAAGAUAUUGGGAAUUCCUCACCUUUUCUACUCCUGCUUCAGGUAUGGAAGGGGUGCCCCAUGAUUCUUGGUCACAUCACCCCAGCUAUGAUGGAUGAGGACUCAUUGGGCUCUCAAACUGAUCAAAUCUGAGCUCCAAACCUGUUUCUGUUCAUUUGCUCCCGGUAGUAACUGAUCCCUUGUGCCACGUGUGGCUCAGCUAAUUAAGAAAUGCAUUAGGCAUAGACCUAAUGAGAGAAGCUUCAGAGCAUCUUUGUGCUGAAGAUGCAUCAUAUCUCCUUGUUUCUGCAGCAAUUCUCAUUCACGUUUUUGGGGGCUUCUUACUUCAUAAAUAGUGUCACCAGGGAAGAAAGUAUUAUUCAACAUGAGUAAAUGUGACAGCAUCUGGGUCUACAGUUAAGUCAAACCCACUCUGAAGUGAGAAGUGAAGAAGCCUAAUGCUGCUCUGUGAGUCACUGGCAAAAUCGGAACGAAACCAAGAAUCUCUUGUUAUCAGCUCUACAAUACAAACUCUGUUGUCCCAACCUUUCAUUAACACACUGAUAGCUCUUAGAGAUUCAGUCUGUUUUUUCUCAGGAUAAACUUUCACCUAUCUUUGCACUAGGCAGGAAUUCCUUGCCUCUUCUUGCUCUUUGUUAACUUUCUCUGUUCCCAUAAACACCAGGAGUGCUGGGCUCCAACUGCCAGGUGUGGGUAUGAAACUGCAAACACUGGCAAAUGCCGAGUGUUUGUUGCCUACCGGGCUGCCCUGAGCCUCUCUCACCUGGGUAGGCAUCUCCCUACAGCUCUUACAGUUGUUUUCAUUUUUUGUGGGAUGCUGCAACCCAAUAUGAGCAUAUUAGAAUGCUGUGAGUCAGGCCUCCUAGAAAAGUCAUGCAUGACUUAAAAUCACAAGGAUGAUCAAAAACAAUAAAAUGCAUGCUUUCUAUUUGCCUUUGGGCUUUCUAAAGUUAAGGCACACCCACGAAGGCUAGAAACUCAGGGCACCUAUUUUUCAUGAGCUACAUGCAGUGCCUUUUUUCUUCUUUCUUCUUUUUUUUAGUUAUUUACUGAAACACUUACAGUAAAAUGACCAGAAUGGCCAACACUGGUUCUGUUGCUGAAAGCACUCAGUGAAGCCAAGUCUUGAGUCACUGACAGAAGAGAACGUUAUAUGCUAGGCAGUUCAGGCAUUGUGAGACCAAAAGAUGAAAAACAUUUCCCUGGGAAGUAAAGUUUUGAGGCCUUUCCACACAUUUGAAAGGAAUGGAAGCUUAAACUCUGCUGAAUUUCUUGCUUCUAGCGAAGUAAUUUUCUUUCUUUCUUGAAAGCAGGAAGGUUGUUAGAUACAAGGAUUCAAAAUAGGAAGGCAAAAAAACCUUUGAGCUCAAGUAAUGUGUUGAUGGGAAAAUGUUUGCUUGCCUUUAGCUGUAGUGCCUCGCUUCCUUGCGGCUGUUUUACUGCAGGCAAAACACAACAACAUCGCAAUGAAUAAAAUAUUAAAUACUGUUGAGGCUUUUAUAAGGACAUUUUUAUAGUUCUUCCAGGUGCAGUGGCAUCCUUUUAAUUACCCUGACAUGACAAAGAGUGCUGCAGAGCUGAAGUGUUGAUUCUCUGGUGUACUCAAGGCCAUAAAAGUAGCAGCCAGGGAAGGGAUCAACUGCAGCUGGAAGGUUCGUGUCUGUGCACAGAACUGGUCAGUGUUAUUUGUUCAGAUCUGUCCUUAGUCAUCACCCUGCCAGUAGGAGGAAAUCAUGCAUAAAAAAACCCAUCCAUAAAAAAGCAUCACUUGAUACUUGACUUAGCCAGCAAAGCAUUGAUGUCUUCCUAAAUUCCACUGCUCUCCAGUGCUUCCCUCUGGCCUUAUUUUAUUUAACAUGUGCGAUACAGUAAGGAAUAAUGUGCCCAGCCAGUGCUCCCCGUCUUUGUCCAUCUUUGUAGCUCUGCAUUAGACCCUUCACAUCAAAACCCCAUCCUUCCACAACCCAUGUGUGUCUGAUAACAGCUCUGCUUUGCUAGAAGAGUAAUGCUCAUGUGCAGUUACUCCUUGUUGUCAAGUCUUUCACAGGAUCUGAAUCUUACUCUUAUAUUCUUGGAAUAUAAGAGUAGAAAUCUUACUCAAAUGUUCCCCCAGAUGUUAGCAGGAUCCCAUUUCUCAGGAGCAGAAUCAAUCCUGAUCCCACUGAAAUACUUCUUACAUGUGACGCCAAUGCAAACAAUCAAUUUUCCCACAGAAUAUUAAGAGUGUAAAUACUUGCCCUUGUAUUAAACCUGCCCCAAGUGUGUUAGGAAAGGCUCACUAUGUACUGUGGUGAGGUUAUGCCUCUUUUGUCCUGUGGCAUCUAUAAAUCAUAUGAUAUACAUGAAAAGGUGUAACUUUUGUUGUUAGAUAUGGACCAAUACACAGGUCUUCAAGGUUUAUGACUUUCUGUUUUGCUUGUUGUUUUGCUGUCUCUGAUUUACCUGUGACUUAAUAUUGAUUCUGAACUACACUGGGACGUUUUGUUAUCAGAUAGCUUUCUGUUUUAUGGCUGGUAAUUCUCCCAGUUCCUCCCUUCCAAGAGCAAGGGCUCCAGCACGUUUCACUGUGGUGCUUCCAAUGAUCAGUGCUUCCCCCAGUGUUUUUUGCUGGACAUUAUUGACACCAGCAUAAAAGUAGCACAAAAGGUUGAGUGUCUCAUACUGCAGUACAUAGCCCAGCAUCUCAGACCCCAGCACAUCUCUGCCAGCACUGUAAAUGGGCCCAUCUUGAUUCUGAGCUGGGUGACCAUCCCUUCCU